RNAcentral lists this ribosomal RNA (254 nucleotides) under uncultured bacterium. Its description in RNAcentral is "partial 16S ribosomal RNA". It matches the Rfam family "Bacterial small subunit ribosomal RNA", at positions 524 to 776 of the family's 1533-position model. The record is from RNAcentral.
UACGUAGGGCGCAAGCGUUGUCCGGAAUUAUUGGGCGUAAAGAGCUCGUAGGCGGUUUGUCGCGUCUGCUGUGAAAUCCCCAGGCUCAACUUGGGGCGUGCAGUGGGUACGGGCAGACUAGAGUGCGGUAGGGGAGACUGGAAUUCCUGGUGUAGCGGUGGAAUGCGCAGAUAUCAGGAGGAACACCGGUGGCGAAGGCGGGUCUCUGGGCCGAUGACUGACGCUGGAGGAGCGAAAGCGUGGGAGCGAACAGG